RNAcentral lists this ribosomal RNA (427 nucleotides) under uncultured bacterium. RNAcentral describes it as "partial 16S ribosomal RNA". It matches the Rfam family "Bacterial small subunit ribosomal RNA", at positions 355 to 774 of the family's 1533-position model. The record is from RNAcentral.
UGGGGAAUAUUGGACAAUGGGCGAAAGCCUGAUCCAGCCAUGCCGCGUGUGUGAAGAAGGUCUUCGGAUUGUAAAGCACUUUAAGUUGGGAGGAAGGGCAUUAACCUAAUACGUUAGUGUUUUGACGUUACCGACAGAAUAAGCACCGGCGAACUCUGUGCCAGCAGCCGCGGUAAUACAGAGGGUGCAAGCGUUAAUCGGAAUUACUGGGCGUAAAGCGCGCGUAGGUGGUUUGUUAAGUUGGAUGUGAAAUCCCCGGGCUCAACCUGGGAACUGCAUUCAAAACUGACUGACUAGAGUAUGGUAGAGGGUGGUGGAAUUUCCUGUGUAGCGGUGAAAUGCGUAGAUAUAGGAAGGAACACCAGUGGCGAAGGCGACCACCUGGACUAAUACUGACACUGAGGUGCGAAAGCGUGGGGAGCAAACA